GUUAAGCGACUAAGCGUACACGGUGGAUGCCCUGGCAGUCAGAGGCGAUGAAGGACGUGCUAAUCUGCGAUAAGCGUCGGUAAGGUGAUAUGAACCGUUAUAACCGGCGAUUUCCGAAUGGGGAAACCCAGUGUGUUUCGACACACUAUCAUUAACUGAAUCCAUAGGUUAAUGAGGCGAACCGGGGGAACUGAAACAUCUAAGUACCCCGAGGAAAAGAAAUCAACCGAGAUUCCCCCAGUAGCGGCGAGCGAACGGGGAGCAGCCCAGAGCCUGAAUCAGUGUGUGUGUUAGUGGAAGCGUCUGGAAAGGCGCGCGAUACAGGGUGACAGCCCCGUACACAAAAAUGCACAUGCUGUGAGCUCGAUGAGUAGGGCGGGACACGUGGUAUCCUGUCUGAAUAUGGGGGGACCAUCCUCCAAGGCUAAAUACUCCUGACUGACCGAUAGUGAACCAGUACCGUGAGGGAAAGGCGAAAAGAACCCCGGCGAGGGGAGUGAAAAAGAACCUGAAACCGUGUACGUACAAGCAGUGGGAGCCUCUUUUAUGGGGUGACUGCGUACCUUUUGUAUAAUGGGUCAGCGACUUAUAUUCUGUAGCAAGGUUAACCGAAUAGGGGAGCCGAAGGGAAACCGAGUCUUAACUGGGCGUUAAGUUGCAGGGUAUAGACCCGAAACCCGGUGAUCUAGCCAUGGGCAGGUUGAAGGUUGGGUAACACUAACUGGAGGACCGAACCGACUAAUGUUGAAAAAUUAGCGGAUGACUUGUGGCUGGGGGUGAAAGGCCAAUCAAACCGGGAGAUAGCUGGUUCUCCCCGAAAGCUAUUUAGGUAGCGCCUCGUGAAUUCAUCUCCGGGGGUAGAGCACUGUUUCGGCAAGGGGGUCAUCCCGACUUACCAACCCGAUGCAAACUGCGAAUACCGGAGAAUGUUAUCACGGGAGACACACGGCGGGUGCUAACGUCCGUCGUGAAGAGGGAAACAACCCAGACCGCCAGCUAAGGUCCCAAAGUCAUGGUUAAGUGGGAAACGAUGUGGGAAGGCCCAGACAGCCAGGAUGUUGGCUUAGAAGCAGCCAUCAUUUAAAGAAAGCGUAAUAGCUCACUGGUCGAGUCGGCCUGCGCGGAAGAUGUAACGGGGCUAAACCAUGCACCGAAGCUGCGGCAGCGACGCUUAUGCGUUGUUGGGUAGGGGAGCGUUCUGUAAGCCUGUGAAGGUGUGCUGUGAGGCAUGCUGGAGGUAUCAGAAGUGCGAAUGCUGACAUAAGUAACGAUAAAGCGGGUGAAAAGCCCGCUCGCCGGAAGACCAAGGGUUCCUGUCCAACGUUAAUCGGGGCAGGGUGAGUCGACCCCUAAGGCGAGGCCGAAAGGCGUAGUCGAUGGGAAACAGGUUAAUAUUCCUGUACUUGGUGUUACUGCGAAGGGGGGACGGAGAAGGCUAUGUUGGCCGGGCGACGGUUGUCCCGGUUUAAGCGUGUAGGCUGGUUUUCCAGGCAAAUCCGGAAAAUCAAGGCUGAGGCGUGAUGACGAGGCACUACGGUGCUGAAGCAACAAAUGCCCUGCUUCCAGGAAAAGCCUCUAAGCAUCAGGUAACAUCAAAUCGUACCCCAAACCGACACAGGUGGUCAGGUAGAGAAUACCAAGGCGCUUGAGAGAACUCGGGUGAAGGAACUAGGCAAAAUGGUGCCGUAACUUCGGGAGAAGGCACGCUGAUAUGUAGGUGAAGCGACUUGCUCGUGGAGCUGAAAUCAGUCGAAGAUACCAGCUGGCUGCAACUGUUUAUUAAAAACACAGCACUGUGCAAACACGAAAGUGGACGUAUACGGUGUGACGCCUGCCCGGUGC
Molecule: ribosomal RNA, 1842 nt
Filed under: Escherichia coli
Lineage: Bacteria; Pseudomonadati; Pseudomonadota; Gammaproteobacteria; Enterobacterales; Enterobacteriaceae
Description: partial 23S ribosomal RNA
Rfam family: Bacterial large subunit ribosomal RNA
Source: RNAcentral